UCCUCUUCCAGGCGUGGGGGGGUGUGUGUGUGUCUCCUCUUCCACCCCGUUGGUCUCCUCUUCCAGGCGUGGGGGUGUGUGUGUGUUUUACCCCGUUGGUCUCCUCUUCCAGGCGUGGGGGGGUGUGUGUGUGUUUUACCCCGUUGGUCUCCUCUUCCAGGCGUGGGGGUGUGUGUGUGUUUUACCCCGUUGGUCUCCUCUUCCAGGCGUGGGGGUGUGUGUGUGUUUUACCCCGUUGGUCUCCUCUUCCAGGCGUGGGGGGGUGUGUGUGUGUGUUUUACCCCGUUGGUCUCCUCUUCCAGGCGUG
Molecule: long non-coding RNA, 307 nt
Organism: Oncorhynchus tshawytscha (Chinook salmon)
Lineage: Eukaryota; Metazoa; Chordata; Actinopteri; Salmoniformes; Salmonidae
Source: Ensembl